Molecule: ribosomal RNA, 377 nt
Filed under: uncultured organism
Description: partial 16S ribosomal RNA
Rfam family: Bacterial small subunit ribosomal RNA
Source: RNAcentral
AGAGGUGGCAAGCGUUGUUCGGAAUUAUUGGGCGUAAAGAGCACGUAGGUGGAUUUGUUAGUCAGAUGUGAAAGCCUUUCGUUCAACGGAAGAAUUGCAUCUGAAACUACAAACCUUGAGUAUAGGAGGGGAGAGUGGAACUUCUGGUGGAGCGGUGAAAUGCGUAGAUAUCAGAAGGAACGCCGGCGGCGAAAGCGACUCUCUGGCCUAUAACUGACACUGAGUGUGCGAAAGCUAGGGGGGGAGCAAACGGGAUUAGAUACCCCGGUAGUCCUAGCCGUAAACGAUGGGCACUAAGUAGGGGGAACUACCGAUGUUCUCUCUGCCGUAGCAAACGCAUUAAGUGCCCCCCGCCUGGGGAUACGGCCGCAAGGCUA